CCUGGCCGCCGCCAUCUUGGCACCCCCGCUCCGGAACCGGAAGUCGGUUUGCGCAGUUGUCCUAGCUCUCUCGCCGUAGGGACCUAUGGCAACCUGUUAUCUAAGCCGGGCUUGGUGGAAGUUCUUUUGACAAGGAGAAGAGAUAAAAGGCAAAACACAGAGGACUUGUUUCCACUAACAGGACUUUGGCAUCGAGGGCACGUUAUGUGCCUACCUCCAGCUGAAACAAAUUCUGCAAGGAUACUGGUAACACGUCCACUGCCAAUUCCGAGUUCUACGUGAAGACUUUCGUGACCUUCCUGCGCCUUCACAGACAUGUUUGGGGAAAGUUGAGAUGAGCUGGAUCUUGGGAUGCAAACCAUGUGACAUUUCACACCCGAAACCUUUAAUUUCUAUGUGGACCUGCUCACAAUUGCUCCUUUCUUCUGACUUCCUGGCUUCCUGGCACCUCAUCCGGAUUCCCACAUCUGCUCCCUACCCCUUUGGUUUAGUGAGUAUUCCCUUCCAAGCUUCUUGGACCGGGUCUUCCACACAUUUCUGGAAUCUGUUCAUUACUUUGGUUUUGGUGACAUCUAUCCCAAUACCACAA
Long non-coding RNA from Jaculus jaculus (lesser Egyptian jerboa), 589 nucleotides. RefSeq lists it as uncharacterized. NCBI's taxonomy places the organism in Eukaryota, Metazoa, Chordata, Mammalia, Rodentia, Dipodidae. The transcript is spliced from 3 exons. The record is from RefSeq and is a predicted model, not a curated record.